GUGCAGAAGCAGCAAAAUGCUGUGGCAGACUCAGCUCCUCUGGCUCCUCGUGCUCUGGGCGCAGGGCUCCAGCGGGGACAUUGUUGUGACUCAGACUCCAGAGUCCCUGUCCGUGUCCCCAGGAGACACAGUCACCAUCAAGUGCAAAACCAGCUCCAGUGUUAGCAGCAGCAUGGCCUUGUACCAGCAGAAACCAGGGCAGGCUCCUAAGCUCCUUCUCUACAACACAAACACCCGCCCCUCGGGAAUCCCUGACCGGUUCAGUGGCAGUGCGUCUGGCACCGACUUUACAUUCACCAUCAGCCACGUGGAAGCUGGAGAUGCUGGAGAUUAUUACUGUCAGCAGGGUAACAGCUUGCCUCGCACAGUGCUACAGCCCCGUACAAAAACCUCCCUGCUCUGCUCAGUCCUGCUGCUCCCGGCACCAGCUGCUUCCUGCCCAGCCACAGGCCAGGGACUCUCGUGCCCCGUCACAGCAGGGCAGGGGGCUGGUCACAGUCACGCACUUGCCCCAUCCGUCCUCCCCGCAGACACGGAGCUCAGCUGUGAUCUAGCACACGUUGCGCAGCACUCGGGUGUUGGCACAGGAUCCUGAAGGCUCAUUUUUGAUUGCAGGCAGAUGCAGUUCAUCCCUGAGCCCAGGGCACACGACUUGUCUCUCAAGACAAGGUUAACGCCUGCCCUGGGACGGAGGUCCUGG
Alligator mississippiensis (American alligator) is the source of this 700-nucleotide non-coding RNA. The record is from the annotation of a RefSeq genome assembly. NCBI's taxonomy places the organism in Eukaryota, Metazoa, Chordata, Crocodylia, Alligatoridae.